AGAAGAGGCUCCCGAGAGCACCUGGUGGUCAUGAAGAAGGAUGCAAUAAGUCAUACUGAGUCAUACUCUUACAGGAUGUCAGGAAGGAGCUGGUCCAAUUUUCUUCAAGGCAAAGGAAAGCACAAAUGUGACGUUAAACACACAGAGGAGACCCCACAUCAGUGACUCACACAGAUGCUGCCAAGGAUCCAGCUGCUUCACACUGUGCAGACAAGAUGGGGGUCUGCAAGCCCGCGUGCCCCGGCAGGGCCCGAGAAGACUGCUGGAGAUUCUGUUUGCGCGUGAAGACACUGUAGGCUCCUCUGGCAGAUGCAGAAACUGUGGCUUAGAGAGGUAAGCAACAUCCUCGGUCUGAUUUUUGUGUCUGUACUCCUCACAUUAUA
This is a long non-coding RNA of Equus quagga, 383 nucleotides long. RefSeq lists it as uncharacterized. The record is from RefSeq and is a predicted model, not a curated record. The transcript is spliced from 4 exons. NCBI's taxonomy places the organism in Eukaryota, Metazoa, Chordata, Mammalia, Perissodactyla, Equidae.